This 269-nucleotide ribosomal RNA is filed under the name uncultured prokaryote. Its description in RNAcentral is "partial 16S ribosomal RNA". It matches the Rfam family "Bacterial small subunit ribosomal RNA", at positions 524 to 792 of the family's 1533-position model. The record is from RNAcentral.
UACGGAGGGUGCAAGCGUUAUUCGGAUUUAUUGGGCGUAAAGAGCGUGUAGGCGGUUGGGUAAGUCAGAUGUGAAAGCCUUUUGCUCAACAAAAGAAGUGCAUCUGAAACUGCUUAACUUGAGUACGAGAGAGGAGAGUGGAAUUCCCAGUGUAGAGGUGAAAUUCGUAGAUAUUGGGAGGAACACCUGUGGCGAAGGCGACUCUCUGGAUCGAUACUGACGCUGAGACGCGAAAGCGUGGGGAGCAAACAGGAUUAGAUACCCGCGUA